Molecule: non-coding RNA, 26 nt
Filed under: Cricetulus griseus (Chinese hamster)
Lineage: Eukaryota; Metazoa; Chordata; Mammalia; Rodentia; Cricetidae
Source: RNAcentral
GUGCUGGAGAUGUUGAAUGUGGGCUU